Molecule: microRNA precursor, 78 nt
Organism: Cercocebus atys (sooty mangabey)
Lineage: Eukaryota; Metazoa; Chordata; Mammalia; Primates; Cercopithecidae
Source: Ensembl
CCCACAGAGGCUGAGAAGGUGAUGGUGGUUCAGGAAAGGGAGAUAGAUGGUAGCCCAUCACCUUUCCCUCUCCCCUAG